This 775-nucleotide ribosomal RNA is filed under the name uncultured Neocallimastigales. RNAcentral's name for it is "partial large subunit ribosomal RNA". It matches the Rfam family "Eukaryotic large subunit ribosomal RNA", at positions 24 to 643 of the family's 3401-position model. The record is from RNAcentral. Lineage: Eukaryota; Fungi; Neocallimastigomycota; Neocallimastigomycetes; Neocallimastigales.
UAUGUGAUCGUCUCUCGCAUAUCAAUAAGCGGAGGAAAAGAAACUAACAAGGAUUCCCCUAGUAACGGCGAGUGAAGCGGGAAGAGCUCAAAUUUGAAAUCUUAAAGGGUUUCCCUUUACGAAUUGUAGUUUAAAGAAGUGUUUUCUGUUGAGGUUUUGGUAAAGAGUUCUUUGGAAUAGGACAUCAUAGAGGGUGAGAAUCCCGUAUUUGACCUUUACUUUCAACUUUGUGAUACACUUUCAAAGAGUCGGAUUGUUUGGGAAUGCAGUCCAAAAUGGGUGGUAAAUUUCAUCUAAAGCUAAAUAUUGGCGAGAGACCGAUAGCGAACAAGUACCGUGAGGGAAAGAUGAAAAGAACUUUGAAAAGAGAGUUAAACAGUACGUGAAAUUGUCAAAAGGGAAGCGUUUGACACCAGUGUUGUUUUUCUGAAAAUCAAUUAAAGAACUGUUUAUGCUAAGUUGUUUAGACUUUAUCAGCUAUCUGUUUAGUUUUGAGCUUUUCUUUAAUGCACUUUUCAGUUAACAAGUCAACAUCAAUUUCUUUUGCUGUAAAAAAGCUUGAGGAAGGUGGCUUGAGAUUCGUCUUAAGUGUUUAUAGCCUCUUGCCUAUGCAGUCGGAGAGAUUGAGGUCUGCAGCGUAGAUCCUUCGGGGCUAAAUGCAUUUGUGCUAAGUUAUAGCAUUUUAUAGACAACUUGUUGACUAUGAUUUGUCUUGUAGCUUACUCGCUUAUGUUAUUUUACCUACGCUUAGGAUGUUGACACACGCGCGUGCUCG